UAAUAUGCUCUUCUGUUAAUAAUCUAUUCAUUGCUUGUCCUCAAAACAUUGGUCAAACCUCAUUUGUCAAAUCUUUCUUGCUUUCCCCCUUGUCCGUCUGUCUGCUUGACAAUCAAUCAACCAUUCCCUGGUUUUCUGACUUUCCGGCACCAGGGUUUGGUUUCCAUUUUCAUUUUCUUCCCCCUUGCCUUUCUUUUUCUUUCCCCUCAUUUCUGUCUUUAGUUUUGUUUUGUUGGUUUUUUGAGGCAGAAUCUCACUAUGUCUUGAACUCACUGUGUAGCCCCAGAUGGCCUUGAGCUAGGAGUGAUCCUUCUGCCUCAUUACAGGUAAUCUGGUAGACGCUUUGGGGGCUUUGAUGGAGCACGCCUGCAACCUCAGAGCUCCAGCAGAUGGCGACUUCGAACCCAGUCUGGUGAUUUAGACGCAGUCUCAAAGUAAACAAUUAAAACGGUUUGGGGGAUGUGGGUCAGUGUCCAGGCUGUGGGUUCAAUCUCCAGUACAGCAGACAAAAGCCAAACAAAACAAAACAAAACAAAACAAAACAACCCACUCAAACAAAAACAACUCUAAGCAAACUGAUUAAACAGAUUUUUUAAGUGUUUGCUGAUUCUCUUAGCAGUGGGAAGAGAAAAACUAGUGCCCCUUUGACUAUUAAUGCUCCUUCAGAGGUAUUUUGUUUGAAAUAAAAUCUCAAAGGGAAAAUUGUAAGUACUAUCCAACAUCACUGAAUUACUGAUUGAUUUUUUAGGUGGCCUCGUGUAAAAUGGUCAUACUACUUAAUUUCCAGCCUUAAGUGUUCCCUCUGCCUCAGUGGUCAGUAUUGUGCCUACCUGGACAGGAAGCCCUUUUCCUGUAUCAAUAUGCCUAAAUCAUCCCAAUAAAACUCUCUUGCUGCGCUUUCUUUGGGGAGGCAUUGCUUUGAGGGUGAACUCCAGUGUGCCCCUUCCUUCAUUCUUUCACUUCUUUAAUCUCCUCCAGGUCGUGCUGAUUAGCUUUGCCUCACCAAGGAGCAACUCUACCCCAUUCAGUGAUAGAUUCAGAACCUCUGAAGCAGCUUUUUUGGUCUGCACUUUAAAUAAACAAGCCUCAAACAGUAUUUUCUAAUGUAAUAACACUGCAUGUAUGUAUUAGGUGUAUUCACUGAUAAACUAAAUAAAUUGAUAAGUUUGGGUAUCAUGGAAAAAAGGGAAAAAAUCAAAAGGCAUCUAGCUUUUAACUCUGAAGUGUAUUUUCAUUGCAUUUUUCCUGAUUUCUCCCUGAAAUGAUGCUUGGUUUGAAAAUAAGGAGGCAAACGUGAAUUGGGAGUGUUCCAGUCAAAUCUAAUCACGGCAUAAAAUUAUUGGUGCAUAAAAUCCAUGUUCAAAUGCACAUGAUGGACGGAAAAUUAAAAUGAGCUUCCAAUUUGC
Molecule: long non-coding RNA, 1406 nt
Organism: Cavia porcellus (domestic guinea pig)
Lineage: Eukaryota; Metazoa; Chordata; Mammalia; Rodentia; Caviidae
Exons: 2
Source: RefSeq, a predicted model, not a curated record